Molecule: unclassified non-coding RNA, 113 nt
Organism: Microcebus murinus (gray mouse lemur)
Lineage: Eukaryota; Metazoa; Chordata; Mammalia; Primates; Cheirogaleidae
Rfam family: Y RNA
About the family: Y RNAs are components of the Ro ribonucleoprotein particle (Ro RNP), in association with Ro60 and La proteins. The Y RNAs and Ro60 and La proteins are well conserved, but the function of the Ro RNP is not known. In humans the RNA component can be one of four small RNAs -- hY1, hY3, hY4 and hY5.
Source: Ensembl
GGCUGGUCCAAAGGUAGCGAAUUACCUCAAUUGAUUGUUCACAUUCAGUUAUAAAUGGAACUCUUUGUUCUACUCUUUCCCCCACUGUCACUACUGUACUUGACUAGUGUUAG